CUGCAGUAUUUGUUUGGUCGACAUACCACGUUGGUUGUCGUAAAGUGCGGUAUUUGAGUUAUAUUUUAGAAGAGCCUAGACAAAAUGUGCUCCUUGCCGUGUGCAGUAGCCAUCGCAAACCCUCCGGACUCGUGUAACGCCGUUAGUUCGCCGUGUGUUUCGUGCGAUCUACCAGUGUCGACAGUGAGUGUUACUAGAGCGCCCGUCCGAGCUGCCUUUGUUCUGCCCACGACCGGCUUAUAAAGCCGGUCGUGGUUCUGCCAAGCUGCCUGCCCGCGCUCCCGUGAAAAGUCUGGUACUGGAGCUUCGAAUCGUAGUGUAUGGAAGGCUGUUGAAGGUUGUGCUUUUGUGGAGCUGGAGUUCAUCGGAAGUUCUACAGUGCUUGCGCCAGAAAGACGUCGGUGCCUCGGUACCUUUGAGACGAAGGAGCGUUGGCCAAGUCUUUUUGAAAGGCUAUGCGGUUUCUGGAGGCAUCCCUACAUCGAGCAGGAAUCUGCUGCACUGCUGGAAGCUGGACAGCACGACAAUAAAGCACGUGAUCUGCGUGCUUUCUCAAAGGUAGACAUCGACGACGGUGUACAUGUUGAAAAGGGCCUGCUGAAGAGGCUGCGCCUGGAUGCUAACAACUCGGGCUUUCAGUUUGCGGGGGGCCUCCUUAAGGCUCCUUUUACAAAAGAAGAGGUUGAAGGGAGGCGCUACACAUGGAUGCGCAGCGAUUGUUUGUGACAGCGUCACUGCUGGCAGGCCUGGCCUGCCUUUUCGCUUUGUUCUGGGUCUUCCACGUUAUCUACUCGAAAAAGGCCCACAGGAUUUUGACAUUUAUUGAGCACUGCUUUCUGGAUUUUUGCUACACAAAGCCGCAGGUGAUAGCAUUGGAUUUAGUCAAUUUUUACAAGAACUAUUGCUAGGCAAAAAAAUUUUCAGAUGCAUAUCCUCAAGAAAGUUUCUGUCAAAAUUAUUUUGCCUAACAAAAGCACUCGUGGGUUCUGUGGCUGACAGGUUGCCCAAGCCAUGUAGCACAGUGCUUGCUUUAAAGGGACACGAAAAAGAAAAUUUGUUUGAGCUUUAUUAAAUCAUUCUUCUACAACACCGAAAAAACAACUCCCACCAUGAGAAUUGGCUUGAUAAGCCAGAUAACUUGCAAAAACGAAAACUGGUGCCGCCACCACCACCUUAUAGUUCCUGCACCAGCUCGCUGUGAUAUGGAAUUUGACGGUGUCUGUUCGGGUCUAGCUAAUGUUCUACUGGCCAAUAUUGAUGAAUUCUGUUGUAAAGGUGUCAAAGAAUAUACUUAGUUGAAGUAUGACUCCACACGGAUGUGCGGGCACUGCAUAAAACUUGAAAAAUGAAAGUUAAAUCUUCAUUUUCUCUUCUAAUAAUCCUCUUAUUGC
Dermacentor albipictus is the source of this 1391-nucleotide long non-coding RNA. RefSeq lists it as uncharacterized. The record is from RefSeq and is a predicted model, not a curated record. NCBI's taxonomy places the organism in Eukaryota, Metazoa, Arthropoda, Arachnida, Ixodida, Ixodidae.